AUGGAUGUGAAGCCAGCGUUACUCAGCAGGAUACGGCUGAGACAGAGGAUCCGGCGGGGCGGAUUCACGCCGGCACCUCGCUCCGCGGAGGAAACGGCGCAGGGCCCUGGAGGCACAGCGGYGCGGGGCUGGGAGCAACAGGGCCGCCGGGCCCCGCUCCUCCCCAGCGCCCCCGGCUGCCUCCCUCACCUGCAGCCCACGUGCCGACACAGAGRAAACUGGGGGAAAGAGGGACGCGGGCGUCGGAGCCUGCUGCGGGGCUCCGCGAGGUCUGGCUGGGACAGGUUGUCCUGCUGGGACAGGUUUCUCCCCGCCUCGGCCGCCCUCGCCGCUUGCAGGGAGAUGCUCCGGGUGCUCCCGGUCCCUCCUUGCUGGGGCGCUGCCGGGGCCCGCCGGGCACCCAAGGGCUUCGGGAGCRCGGGCAAGCGCGCUUCCCGGCACCGCGAAAGGGGCUGGGGCGGCAGGACCAUCCUCRGGGAGAGGCCGGCCGAGGGCAGCGUCGGGGAGGAAAAGCAGCCUUGUCCAAGCCGUGGCUGCGGGAAAMGCCGCCUCCAAGGUCCGGCCCUGGGGCACCAACCCGCUCCGGCAGAUCAGAGGCCCCGGUGCUUGAGCAGCUGCUUUAAAACACCUCUCUGCCUCGGCAUGCCGGGAAGCAAACAAAUCGCGCACGAGGGCAUGCAGAGGUGUGCGCCCUCAGCAAACGAACGAGAAAAAGUCAAAAAAAAGGAAGAAAUCAAGAGGCGCUUUUUCUCCGCGCCCCUCUGCCAGCGCCGCGGCCGCAGUUUGUUCCCCUUCCCCUGGCCGGGGAGGCUCGGUUUGCACCAGCCCUCCUCAGCGCGCUGCCUCGGAGCAGUGCCGGGCGGGAGGGAGCGCGGCGGCGGCGGCGGCGGCCGGGCAGCACAACAGGCCGGUGUUUGGCGGCGCGCGGCGCGCAGGGACAGGAAGUCCCCGCGCAGACAGCGAGUCUGCGGCGCCGCGGCGCUUGGCGCCCUGCACCCCGCCACCGCUGCGCCGGCCCCCGCGGCGGGGACGAGGGCGCGGGGGGAGCCGGCCGGCCGGCUGGGAGCGGGCAAGCCCCACAGGGUCACCUUGCGCUGCAAACCGGCAGCUCCGGCGAGGGGGCAGAAAGCCUCGGGGAAGCCUCCCCCCGCGCUUGGGGGAGUGGGAACGAACGCCUCUGCCGGGUCUGCUCCUCGGCAUCGCUGUGCACCCGGGCGUUGCGCUUGCAGCGGGGCCGGUGCUGGAAAAGGCAUCGGGGGCAUGAGCAGCCGCCGUGCCGUGCUGCACCRUGAGGCAGCACCCACCCACCGGUGGAGCAGGGCUGCGGGGUCUCCCCAGCUGCCACAGGCAUUUUCCAGCUGUUUUGCUCUUCCCGAGCGCCCAGAGCAGCUUUGCACCCCCCUCUGCAGCAGAGCCGGUGCGAGGGGUGCAAAAGCCGCYCCGGUGCUUUUUCCCUUCCAGCCUGCUGCUCUUCAGUCACCCCUCGAGGCUCAGGUCCCUGCGGCAGAGGCAGCGUGGGCGGCCAGCGUCCCACACGCACCUCGGCGGCGUAACCCCCCCCCCCAGCCCCCCGCUCCUCGGCCCCCGUUUCGCGCGACUACGGGCAAAUCAAAGGCUCCGAGCGCCUGGGGAGAGCGGGAGGUGCCUCGCCAGGCCCCGCGGCCGCAGCGCUACAAUAGCGCCUUGUUCCUCCGCACGCCCCGCUUCUCCCCCGUAUCGCAGCCUGCAGCACCGCGCGGCAGUGACCUCAUCUUUUUUUCCCCGUGCCUCCCGCUGAAGCCGGCUCCGCGGCACGGCCGGAGCCGGUCMCCGCCGGGGCUUUCGCGGGGCGCAGCGGCGCCCGCAGGUGCCGGCGAGCGACGGGCGGCGUUGGGAGCCGGCCAGGCCGACCCUCGCCCGGCGCCCGCCGCAUAA
Molecule: long non-coding RNA, 1914 nt
Filed under: Apteryx haastii (Great spotted kiwi)
Lineage: Eukaryota; Metazoa; Chordata; Aves; Apterygiformes; Apterygidae
Description: lncRNA (ENSAHAG00000012063.1)
Source: RNAcentral